GAGGGUAUAGCUCAGUGGUAGAGUACAUGCUUAGCGUGCAUGAGGUCCUGAGUUCAGUCCCUAGUACCUCCA
Molecule: transfer RNA, 72 nt
Filed under: Camelus bactrianus (Bactrian camel)
Lineage: Eukaryota; Metazoa; Chordata; Mammalia; Artiodactyla; Camelidae
Also listed under: 2 other names
Rfam family: tRNA
About the family: Transfer RNA (tRNA) molecules are approximately 80 nucleotides in length. Their secondary structure includes four short double-helical elements and three loops (D, anti-codon, and T loops).
Source: Rfam by way of RNAcentral